UACGGAGGGUGCAAGCGUUAAUCGGAAUUACUGGGCGUAAAGCGCGCGUAGGCGGUUAGUUAAGCGGGAUGUGAAAUACCUGGGCUCAACCUGGGAACUGCAUUUCGAACUGGCUGGCUAGAGUACAGAAGAGGGUGGUGGAAUUUCCAGUGUAGCGGUGAAAUGCGUAGAGAUUGGAAGGAACAUCAGUGGCGAAGGCGGCCACCUGGUCUGAUACUGACGCUGAGGCGCGAAAGCAUGGGGAGCAAACAGG
RNAcentral lists this ribosomal RNA (253 nucleotides) under uncultured bacterium. RNAcentral describes it as "partial 16S ribosomal RNA". It matches the Rfam family "Bacterial small subunit ribosomal RNA", at positions 524 to 776 of the family's 1533-position model. The record is from RNAcentral.